RNAcentral lists this ribosomal RNA (412 nucleotides) under uncultured bacterium. RNAcentral describes it as "bacterial SSU rRNA". It matches the Rfam family "Bacterial small subunit ribosomal RNA", at positions 29 to 423 of the family's 1533-position model. The record is from RNAcentral.
AGCGAACGCUGGCGGCGUGGAUCAGACAUGCUAGUCGAACGAGAAUUCGGGGGCAACUCCGAUACUAAAGUGGCGAAAGGGCGAGUAAUACGUGAUCAAUCUACCUCUUAGACGGGAACAACGACUGGAAACGGUCGCUAAUGCCCGAUGAGCCUGCGAUGAGGCAUCUCAUUGUUGGGAAACGGUUGGGAUCUUUGGACCUUCUGCUAAGAGAAGGGAUCACGUCCAUUAGCUAGUUGGUGGGGUUACGGCCCACCAAGGCUGUGAUGGGUAGGCCGGCCUGAGAGGGUGGUCGGCCGCAUUGAGACUGAGACACGGCUCAGACUCCUACGGGAGGCAGCAGUCGAGAAUCUUCCGCAAUAGGCGAAAGCCUGACGGAGCGACGCCGCGUGGAGGAUGAAGGCCUUCGGUU